Molecule: long non-coding RNA, 482 nt
Organism: Oncorhynchus masou masou (cherry salmon)
Lineage: Eukaryota; Metazoa; Chordata; Actinopteri; Salmoniformes; Salmonidae
Exons: 3
Source: RefSeq, a predicted model, not a curated record
AAAAAAGACAAAAUCCUUGUGUCCAUGACAACUUACAACUCAUCUUCGAUGAAGAGCGAGAUGCUGGCCAAUGUGCCCGAAGGAGCGAAAAGAGAACCACUGAAAUCAAGCGAAAAUCUGAAAGUAAAAUUUGUGUUACUGUGGCGCAAUCAAGGCAAAUGCAAGUGGCAGGCGACACCAUGGAUGUUCGUUGGGGUAGUGUGAAUGGAAAAUCGGUCAUUGUGGGAAGGGUUUGCUAAAUCUGACCCUGGCUGCUACAAGACAAGCAAGUGUGAAAUUCAUAUGAAAGAACCGAAUGGAUAACAAAUACAUCCUGGUAUGGCAAGAUUCUCCAUGGGCAGGCACCUUCAUUUUGCUAGUAUUGAGAGAGAUGUUGUCUUUACUGGUACCUGAUAUAUCCAAUGAGAUUGCAAUGGGAGCCUCAGCAAAUGGGUGUCAAAUUGGAGGAGAGAAAUCCAUUAAACAAUGGAGUAACGUUUUAC